RNAcentral lists this long non-coding RNA (339 nucleotides) under Theobroma cacao (cacao). RNAcentral's name for it is "long non-coding RNA (TCAC_LNC003069)". The record is from RNAcentral. Lineage: Eukaryota; Viridiplantae; Streptophyta; Magnoliopsida; Malvales; Malvaceae.
AACAAGCAAGGAAAAUUGGACAUGAUCCAAUAAAGGAAGAAUGGACAUGACCCAAUUAAAAAGAAAUGGGAGAAGUCCAUGAAUAAGAGUCCAAAAACAACAAAGGAAGAAAAAUCCAAAAGAAAAGGAAGGUGGAGAUUUGGGCCAACCUAGCUUAAUUGGGUAAAAUUUCUUUACUCUUCACCAUAAUUUAUUUUGAAAUUGGACUAUAUGGCGGCUAAAUUAUUUUAUUUAAUUAUGCAUUAGUUAAUUGGUGAUAUAAAGUAAAUUUAAGUUACUUAGAAGGUUGAAAUAGGCACUAAAUACCAUAAGUAAGUUACUGGUGUUAAUACUCUAAAG